AUCAUUAUUGAGUUAGGGUCCUCUGGGCCCCAUCUCCAACCCUUGUCUAUCCUACCAUGUUGCUUUGGCGGGCCCGUUCUCAACCGGACCGCUGGGGACUCGCUUCCCUAGCCCGUGCCCGUCAGUAGCCCCUAACAACUCCAAGUCACGGUGAUGUCUAAGUAGAACUAUAAUGAACUAAAACUUUCAACAACGGAUCUCUUGGUUCUGGCAUCGAUGAAGAACGCAGCGAAAUGCGAUAAGUAAUGUGAAUUGCAGAAUUCAGUGAAUCAUCGAAUCUUUGAACGCACAUUGCGCCCCUUGGUAUUCCGGGGGGCAUGCCUGUCCGAGCGUCAUUGCAACCCUCAAGCUUUGCUUGGUAUUGGGCGUUCGCUCCCCCGUUUCGGGGGCGGCGCGCCUGUAAAUUAAUGGCGGCCCCGGGGGGACCUCAAGCGCAGUAGAACCUUUUCGCUUGGGCGGUGCCACCCGGGGCCCGGCCGUCAACCUCUCCAUCGAUCAAUGAUUGACCUCGGAUCAGGCAGGGAUACCCGCUGAACUUAAGCAUAUCAAUAAGCGGAGGA
Molecule: ribosomal RNA, 560 nt
Filed under: uncultured Caloplaca
Lineage: Eukaryota; Fungi; Ascomycota; Lecanoromycetes; Teloschistales; Teloschistaceae
Description: eukaryotic LSU rRNA
Rfam family: 5.8S ribosomal RNA (bases 182-335)
Source: RNAcentral